This 497-nucleotide ribosomal RNA is filed under the name uncultured bacterium. Its description in RNAcentral is "partial 16S ribosomal RNA". It matches the Rfam family "Bacterial small subunit ribosomal RNA", at positions 28 to 507 of the family's 1533-position model. The record is from RNAcentral.
GACGAACGCUGGCGGCGUGCCUAAUACAUGCAAGUUGAGCGCUGAAGGUUGGUACUUGUACCAACUGGAUGAGCAGCGAACGGGUGAGUAACGCGUGGGGAAUCUGCCUUUGAGCGGGGGACAACAUUUGGAAACGAAUGCUAAUACCGCAUAAAAACUUUAAACACAAGUUUUAAGUUUGAAAGAUGCAAUUGCAUCACUCAAAGAUGAUCCCGCGUUGUAUUAGCUAGUUGGUGAGGUAAAGGCUCACCAAGGCGAUGAUACAUAGCCGACCUGAGAGGGUGAGAGGCCACAUUGGGACUGAGACACGGCCCAACAUACUGCGGGAGGCAGCAGUAGGGAAUCUUCGGCAAUGGAAGAAAGUCUGACCGAGCAACGCCGCGUGAGUGAAGAAGGUUUUCGGAUCGUAAAACUCUGUUGGUAGAGAAGAACGUUGGUGAGAGUGGAAAGCUCAUAAAGUGACGGUAACUACCCAGAAAGGGACGGCUAACUACGUG